UUCUUUCUCCCCUCUCUCUCAGCCGCGAUCUUUUCUUUUGUUGAUUUUUCUUGGUUUAUCAAUUAGAGAGGGGUGGUUUAGGAUCAAUUUUGAUCCGAAAUCACCCCUCUUGAUUGUUUUUAUAUUUCUUUUUAUUUAAAUAAGUGAUAUCCACAUACUUUUUGAGUUUUAUUCGAGUUUUUUCUUCUGAUUUUUUUCAUUUGGUGUUGUUUUAAUCCCGUCUUAGUGCGGAGUUUUGUUUAUCCCGUCUUUGUAUGGUGUUUGUCCCGUCUUGGUACGGUGUUUUUUUUGUUCAUAUUUGCAGGUUUGUUUCUAUCUCAAUUCAGUGCAGAUUCAAUGACUUUAGCAUCAUCAACGUUAUUGAUCCGGAUACAUGAUUACUCCGGACAUUUGAAGUUUGUCAUAUCAAUUGUAGGCUUUGUCUUAGACAUUAUGCCGUUUUAUGCUAUUAACUCGGAUACUGUGAGCCUGUUUGUGUUUGCAGAUUCAUCCUUAUUAGUUUUUAGCGAAAUUGAAUUUGU
This 521-nucleotide long non-coding RNA is filed under the name Trifolium pratense (red clover). RNAcentral describes it as "long non-coding RNA (TPRA_LNC003453)". The record is from RNAcentral. Lineage: Eukaryota; Viridiplantae; Streptophyta; Magnoliopsida; Fabales; Fabaceae.